CAAAUAUAACUGAGGCCCUGAUGUGUAAAGUUGGCGGCUGGCAACCUCCAGAACUCAAGGGGAGACCCGGAACGAACAGCACCAAACACGGCAGAGAAGGCAAGAAAAACCGGGUAGCCUGUGGAAAAGAUCGUUCAUUCGGAAGUCUUCAAAAACGCUAGCUGCUUCACACAGAGAGCUGUAAUUAAAGGACAAGACAGAUUUCAACAGGACAAACUAUCAGGACGAAGAUCAAGACGCGGUCCAAAUUUCCCAGCGCCUGAGUUACUUCUUCUGACGAGCACAAAGAGUCCUCAUAAUGGAGCCUGUGCCCCUGUUGAAGAUGAAAACUACCCACCUUGCUCUGAUGUGAGACCAUCUGAAGAAGAAAAAAUGCCAAUAUUUUCUAAACAACGUUUUGUAGAAAAUUUCAAAGCUACAAGAAGCUCACAAAAAUAAUACUUCACUAACAAUCAUUGGUCUUUCUUUUUUUAAAGAUUUUUUUAAAUUGAUUUUUUUUGGAAUUUCACGUCAUGCACCCCUAUGCCACUCAUUUCCUAGUCUUUCCGUAUCUGUCUUUUAUCCUUGCAGCAUCGCCCCUAAAAGAAAAUAAAAAUAUUAAUUAAACAAACAAACAAACAACAACAACAAAAAGCAACAAAGCACGUCGCUCCUCCACCUUUCCCGCCUCUCCAUCACCUCUUCAUUCAUCUUAGUGGCGUUUGGAGCUGCUGUGUGUCAUGGAGUUAGACCCUUUUGUCCACACAGCUUUACUUGCAAAUGUUCAUGGUAAUGAAUUAUUGGUCUGGUUCAAGGCCUCUGACUUCUGCUACACCAUCCAUACUGGACCCUCACAGAAACUUCUCUCAGACAUCCUGCUUUUGCCUGGAGUCAUGGAGAUCGUACAGCUAUGGUUCCGUAGGACCAGUCCCUUCACAUGGUCCGGCAGGUCAUAGAUGGAGCCGAUGUUGGGGUGGGCCAACUCAAAGCCCUGGAUGUGGGCCUGGGUGGUA
Molecule: long non-coding RNA, 992 nt
Organism: Peromyscus californicus insignis
Lineage: Eukaryota; Metazoa; Chordata; Mammalia; Rodentia; Cricetidae
Exons: 3
Source: RefSeq, a predicted model, not a curated record